UUGGUAGUUGUUGAAGAACAAAUCUUUAUUUUGACCUCCUUAUAUUGUGGAUUGUAUUUGUAAGAAACAUGCACACGUUUGAUAGAUACGCUGUGAUAUCGGCCUACUUGUUCGGCAAGUACUUAUCUCCUUCACUUCUUGUACCCAUUUUGCAGUUCAUGGACAAAUCAUGCAGCGUCAUGGACUCAUCUUCUAUAACACAUAAGUAGGCGCGCAUGCCAGAUUGAUUCCUUCCAGUACCUAGCUGAUGUUGUUUGUACCCAGACUACCCACAGUGCCUGAUGAAGCUACAAGACCGCAAACAUACGGGACCUAGACGAGUCCACGGAGAAACAACAUCCUUGUGUAUCUUGAGCUGCUUCAUCACUUGAUGGAACGAGACAUGGUUGUGGGGAACACAGCAGGAUUAGCAAGUAAUUCGAGAGUAAUCUUGUAUGCGCCCUGGGCUCAGUUUGCGCCGCGAUAAAUUGUUUUCAACAUGUAAUACAUUUGUUAUAUUCAUGAGCCGUUGAGAACACAAUGCUGAGUUGCCAAGAGAACCAAAAAAGUGU
Molecule: long non-coding RNA, 551 nt
Filed under: Triticum aestivum (bread wheat)
Lineage: Eukaryota; Viridiplantae; Streptophyta; Magnoliopsida; Poales; Poaceae
Description: long non-coding RNA (TAES_LNC000460)
Source: RNAcentral